This 374-nucleotide RNase P RNA is filed under the name Spirochaetota bacterium. RNAcentral describes it as "Spirochaetes bacterium RNase P RNA component class A". It matches the Rfam family "Bacterial RNase P class A". From Rfam's summary of the family: Ribonuclease P (RNase P) is a ubiquitous endoribonuclease, found in archaea, bacteria and eukarya as well as chloroplasts and mitochondria. Its best characterised activity is the generation of mature 5'-ends of tRNAs by cleaving the 5'-leader elements of precursor-tRNAs. Cellular RNase Ps are ribonucleoproteins. Lineage: Bacteria; Pseudomonadati; Spirochaetota. The record is from RNAcentral.
AGGGCAGGUCGGGUUACCGCUGUCAUGAGUUUUAUGGCAGAGGAAAGUCCGGGCUUCUUAGAGCAUGAUGCCGGGUAACCCCCGGGCAUUCGGUUAAGAAACUUGACACCGAAUGACAGAUAGUGCCACAGAAAACAGACCGCCCUGCGUUCAACAUAUAAGCGCAGGGUAAGGGUGAAAAGGCGGGGUAAGAGCCCACCGCCCUUUCGGUAACGAAAGGGGCACGGUAAACCUCAUCAGAAGCAAGGCCAAGCAGCAGAUCGGGUUGCUCGCCCAUCAAUCUGCGGGUAGGCCGCUAAAACGAAUUGGUAACAAUUCGUUUAAGAUAGAUGGUAACCUUUUAACAGAACCCGGCUUACAGAUCUGCCCUUUUA